RNAcentral lists this ribosomal RNA (484 nucleotides) under uncultured bacterium. Its description in RNAcentral is "partial 16S ribosomal RNA". It matches the Rfam family "Bacterial small subunit ribosomal RNA", at positions 30 to 507 of the family's 1533-position model. The record is from RNAcentral.
AUUGAACGCUGGCGGCAGGCCUAACACAUGCAAGUCGAGCGGAUGAAGGGAGCUUGCUCCUGGAUUCAGCGGCGGACGGGUGAGUAAUGCCUAGGAAUCUGCCUGGUAGUGGGGGAUAACGUCCGGAAACGGGCGCUAAUACCGCAUACGUCCUGAGGGAGAAAGUGGGGGAUCUUCGGACCUCACGCUAUCAGAUGAGCCUAGGUCGGAUUAGCUAGUUGGUGGGGUAAAGGCCUACCAAGGCGACGAUCCGUAACUGGUCUGAGAGGAUGAUCAGUCACAUUGGAACUAAGACACGGUCCAGACUACUACGGGAGGCAGCAGUGGGGAAUAUUGGACCAUGGGCGAAAGCCUGAUCCAGCCAUGCCGCGUGUGUGAAGAAGGUCUUCGGAUUGUAAAGCACUUUAAGUUGGGAGGAAGGGCAGUAAGUUAAUACCUUGCUGUUUUGACGUUACCAACAGAAUAAGCACCGGCUAACUUCGUG